AUUUUAAUCAAAUUAAUAUAUUUUAAUUAGUUUAAAGUAAAUGAACCAUUAGUUUAAUGACAACUCUCAAUAAAUGCUGAGAAUCGUCUCUCCUGCCAGAAACGUUUCUCCACUUUUCUCUCCUUCUUCCUUCUCUCCUACUUUUUCUCUUUUUAAUUAUUAUUUAAUUGAUGAGUAUCUCAAUCAGAUAUUCCGAUGGAGAUGGUCUAAGUGUGUGUAUAGAUUGUCAUUCAGUUGGCAAGCUAAAACCUCAGCUGUAUGAUAAUGUUAACAAAAUCACUCUGUUUUGCUUAAUCUCU
Molecule: small RNA, 299 nt
Filed under: Arabidopsis thaliana (thale cress)
Lineage: Eukaryota; Viridiplantae; Streptophyta; Magnoliopsida; Brassicales; Brassicaceae
Description: ATSL115640
Source: RNAcentral